GAGAGCCACGUCAUUGGUGUCCAUCUUUUCUCUCUUUUGUUUUCUCCGGCGACAAGGGUUUUGUUAGCUUCAACGUUCAUAUCGUCGACGGUUUUCCAGGGUCAAAGUCAUAACGGUCUUCAGAGCCGUUGCCCGCCAUUCCCGGAUGCCAGCUGUCUCGGCCUGCGCGUGUUUCACUUGGACUUAUAUAUAUCUCCCGUACUCACACUCACACUCUUUUCUUCAUCACAUUCUCACAUUAGAAUCAGAGCGCUCCAUCAACGGCCUCUUCCCUUUUGAGUGUUCGCUGCCGAAACCAAACGCUAGAUUGUUACCAGACAAUCGGAGGAUGAGAGAGCAGAAUUGAAAGACGUUUCUAGCCUCGUCUCGGUGAUGAGCAAUAGAGGUAGAAGAAAGAAUUUGGUCAGCUGAAGAGGAAAAGGCAGAGUCUAAGAAAGAAUUUGGUGCAGAGUCUAAAAAGAUAUGGAAAUGGUGGACAUUAUGGAGAUAAAUAAAGUUGAGGUCAUUCUACGAGGAAUCCCACUCCGAUUGCUACUUUGAACACUCCAUAAUGUAAGAAUUUUCUAUUUGACAUCAUGAACUACCAUAUAUCCGGUCUGGUUCUCGCAGGAAUUACAUUUUUGGCAAUGUUGUGGUCCUAAUAAGGUUAGAUUCCUAAGUUUAACUUUUAUUAUGUCUUUGUUUUUCUUUUUUGAUGUUCUUUGUGCUUCCGAUAUCACGUUUUUAUUCUUUUAAACUACAAUAAAGGAUUUAAUGAAUGUUAAAGUCAAAGAGGUUCAUGAG
Cucurbita moschata (crookneck pumpkin) is the source of this 783-nucleotide long non-coding RNA. RefSeq lists it as uncharacterized. The transcript is spliced from 3 exons. Lineage: Eukaryota; Viridiplantae; Streptophyta; Magnoliopsida; Cucurbitales; Cucurbitaceae. The record is from RefSeq and is a predicted model, not a curated record.